UGAGUACGAGACGCUAAGGCGUCGAAGUAGUGUAUGUCAUACUUCCAAGAAAAGCUUGCACUAUCAUAGAUAAAAAACGCCUGUACCAUAACCGACACAGGUGGGUAGGUAGAGUAUACUAAGGGGCGCGAGAUAACUCUCUCUAAGGAACUCGGCAAAAUAACUCCGUAACUUCGGGAGAAGGAGUGCCUUAUUAUUAAGGUUGCAAUAACAAGAUCCAAGCAACUGUUUAUCAAAAACACAGGUCUCCGCUAAGUCGUAAGACGAUGUAUGGGGGCUGACGCCUGCCCAGUGCCAGAAGGUUAAAGAAGUUGGUUAGCAAUUGCGAAGCUGAUAACUGAAGCCCUGGUGAACGGCGGCCGUAACAAUAACGGUCCUAAGGUAGCGAAAUUCCUUGUCGGGUAAGUUCCGACCCGCACGAAAGGCGUAAUGAUUUGGAUACUGUCUCGGAGAGGGGCUCGGUGAAAUAGACUUGUCUGUGAAGAUGCGGACUACCUGCACCAGGACAGAAAGACCCUAUGAAGCUUUACUGUAACUUGAAAUUGAAAUUGGACUUUAUUCGCGCAGUAUAGGUGGGAGGCGUUGAUUAUAAUCUUGCGGGAUUAUUGGAGCCAUCAGUGAGAUACCACUCUUGUAAUGUUAGAUUUCUAACUUUGAAUCAUUAUCUGGUCAAAGAACAGUUUCAGGCGGGCAGUUUGACUGGGGCGGUCGCCUCCUAAACGGUAACGGAGGCGUACAAAGGUUUCCUCUGAACGGUUAGAAAUCGUAUCUAGAGUGUAAAGGCAUAAGGAAGCUUGACUGUGAGACCUACAAGUCGAGCAGGGACGAAAGUCGGUCUUAGUGAUCUGACGGUACUGAGUGGAAAGGCCGUCACUCAACGGAUAAAAGUUACUCUAAGGAUAACAGGCUGACCUCCCCCAAGAGUUCACAUCGACGGGGAGGUUUGGCACCUCGAUGUCGGCUCAUCGCAUCCUGGGGCGGUAGUACGUCCCAAGGGUUGGGCUGUUCGCCCAUGAAAGCGGUACGCGAGCUGGGUUCAGAACGUCGUGAGACAGUUCGGUCCAUAUCCGGUGUAGGCGUUAGAAUAUUGAGAGGAGCCUUCUUUAGUACGAGAGGACCGAGAAGGACAUACCUCUGGUGUACCAGUUAUCGUGCCAACGGUAAACGCUGGGUAGCUAUGUAUGGAGUGGAUAACCGCUGAAAGCAUCUAAGUGGGAAGCCCACCUCAAGAUAAGUAUUCUC
RNAcentral lists this ribosomal RNA (1242 nucleotides) under metagenome. RNAcentral describes it as "bacterial LSU rRNA". It matches the Rfam family "Bacterial large subunit ribosomal RNA", at positions 1564 to 2815 of the family's 2925-position model. The record is from RNAcentral.